Punica granatum (pomegranate) is the source of this 1305-nucleotide non-coding RNA. The record is from RefSeq and is a predicted model, not a curated record. Lineage: Eukaryota; Viridiplantae; Streptophyta; Magnoliopsida; Myrtales; Lythraceae.
CCUAAAGCUACAUUGCCUUCCUCCAUAUUUACAUGUUCAACCUUAGAAAAGCUUCGGGUGCAAUCAGGUUACUUCCUCAAACAGCCUUCUUCAAUGUGCCUUUCAAAACUCCAGGUGUUGACGCUUUCAGGAGUUGCAUUUGAGGAUUCCGAUGGAGAAGUUGUUUGCCAGUCCGUUACUUGAAACUUUAGAAAUUGACGAUUGUUAGUUGGUGAAACCCAAAAGAAUACGCAUUUCUGCCCCCAGGCUUCAACAUUUAUAUAUCAAAAUGUAUUCUCACAGUUCAGAUGACUGCAUCCUACAUAUCAGUGGACCUUGUCUUAAAUCCUUCCACUAUCAUGGUGUUCUCGUCAAAGAACACUGCAUAUUGGGAGUCGCCAGACAGUUAGUUGAGGCCAAGCUACUACUGAGUUUUAGAAGCGUAAGAGAUAGAGAGGUAGCCCAGGGUAACAAGCUCCUGUCAGUCGUCUCUAAUGUGAAGGAGUUUAUCUACACAAUUCUAGAGGCAAGCUCCAUCCUUUGGACCUUGUCACAAGGGAUGAGCUUCCUUUGUUCAGUAAUAUGAUCAAGGUCACUUCAGAUUGGAUAAGUUCUACAACUGUUAAGGGCCUUUGGGGCUACAUUAAAGGUCUUUGGGGGAUAUUGAGAAGAUCUCCUCAUCUUCGAAGCCUCUACUUUAGACUGGGAUAGAAGAGUUGCUACACCAAGUGCCUUCAUGUUUCGUCACAGAGCUCACAAAAAUAUCUGUCAAGUUUCGUAAUGGGAUAGGUGGCCCAGAAGAGCUUUUCAUGGUUCGGAUUUUCCUUGAGAAGGUUGUGGCUUUGAGAGAAAUGGUUAUCCUAUUUCCCGAGGACUGUGUGGACGAGGAGAAUCUGCUGGAGAGUUUAAGCAAGUUUCUCAUGGGAUCAAAGAAAUGUCGAAUCUCAUUGCAAGCACAACCUGUGGGUUGAGAUUGGAAAAUCUUGUAGGAUUAAUUUAGUCUAUCGUGAUAUUUUGAUUUGUGAAAUGAACUUCUAUCUUGAUUUUGUUAGGUGUCUCUUUGUUUAGUUAUAUGCUUUGUAAGUUUGAUGUAAUUUUGUCUAUAGAGGCACAUCAGAGGAAGUAUGCAAUCCAGAAUCCUUGGUCAGAAGAGGUUCUUGAACUAGACCUGAGUCAUGGGAGAAAGAAACAGGUAAUUCAUAGGAGCUUAUGGGAAUGAAUUGUCAUGAAUUUUCUCAUACCGCGACGUCAAUAGAUCUCAUAAAUACUUGCGAAAAAUAAUAAUCAAUAUUGUCAUGCACAAUAAAUUUGUGCUUUACCCGUGCA